ACUUUUGCUGACGACCGGCGCACGGGUGCGUAACGCGUAUGCAAUCUACCUCUUACUGANNNNNAGCCCAUGGAAACGUGGAUUAAUACCUCAUGGUAUUUUAAAUUGGCAUCAAUUUAAGAUUAAAGGUUACNNNNNGNGNNNAGCAUGCGUCCUAUUANNNNGAUGGUAAGGUAACGGCUUACCAUGGCAACGAUAGGUAGGGGUCCUGAGAGGGAGAUCCCCCACACUGGUACUGAGACACGGACCAGACUCCUACGGGAGGCAGCAGUGAGGAAUAUUGGACAAUGGGCGAGAGCUUGAUCCAGCCAUGCCGCGUGCAGGAAGACUGCCCUAUGGGUGUGUAAACUGCUUUUGUAUAGGAAGAAACCUUUCCUCGUGAGGAAAAUUGACGGUACUAUACGAAUAAGGAUCGGCUAACUCCGUGCCAGCAGCCGCGGUAAUACGGAGGAUCCAAGCGUUAUCCGGAAUCAUUGGGUUUAAAGGGUCCGUAGGCGGGUUUAUAAGUCAGUGGUGAAAGUCUGCAGCUUAACUGUAGAACUGCCAUUGAUACUGUAGAUCUUGAAUCAUUAUGAAGUGGUUAGAAUGUGUAGUGUAGCGGUGAAAUGCAUAGAUAUUACACAGAAUACCGAUUGCGAAGGCAGAUCACUAAUAAUGUAUUGACGCUGAUGGACGAAAGCGUAGGUAGCAAACAGGAUUAGAUACCCUGGUAGUCUACGCCGUAAACGAUGGUUACUAGCUGUCCGGCCUAAUUGAGGGCUGGGUGGUUAAGCGAAAGUGAUAAGUAACCCACCUGGGGAGUACGUUCGCAAGAAUGAAACUCAAAGGAAUUGACGGGGGCCCGCACAAGCGGUGGAGCAUGUGGUUUAAUUCGAUGAUACGCGAGGAACCUUACCAGGGCUUAAAUGCAGUCUGACGUACUUGGAAACAGGUAUUUCUUCGGACAGAUUGCAAGGUGCUGCAUGNGUUGUCGUCAGCUCGUGCCGUGAGGUGUCAGGUUAAGUCCUAUAACGAGCGCAACCCCUGUGGUUAGUUGCCAGCACGUAAUGGUGGGAACUCUAGCCAGACUGCCGGUGCAAACCGUGAGGAAGGUGGGGAUGACGUCAAAUCAUCACGGCCCUUACGUCCUGGGCCACACACGUGCUACAAUGGUAGGGACANNNNGCAGCCACUUCGCGAGAAGGAGCGAAUCUAUAAANNNUAUCACAGUUCGGAUCGUAGUCUGCAACUCGACUACGUGAAGCUGGAAUCGCUAGUAAUCGCAUAUCAGCCAUGAUGCGGUGAAUACGUUCCCGGGCCUUGUACACACCGCCCGUCAAGCC
This 1322-nucleotide ribosomal RNA is filed under the name Zunongwangia atlantica. RNAcentral's name for it is "bacterial SSU rRNA". It matches the Rfam family "Bacterial small subunit ribosomal RNA", at positions 81 to 1403 of the family's 1533-position model. The record is from RNAcentral. Lineage: Bacteria; Pseudomonadati; Bacteroidota; Flavobacteriia; Flavobacteriales; Flavobacteriaceae.